UAGGGAAUUUUCGGCAAUGGGGGGAACCCUGACCGAGCAACGCCGCGUGAGUGAAGAAGGUCUUCGGAUUGUAAAGCUCUGUUGUAAGGGAAGAACGUCAGGCAGAAGAUGCUUGAGUGACGGUACCUUACCAGAAAGCCACGGCUAACUACGUGCCAGCAGCCGCGGUAAUACGUAGGUGGCGAGCGUUAUCCGGAAUUAUUGGGCGUAAAGGGUGCGUAGGCGGCUGAUUAAGUUCGUGGUUAAAGCGUGGGGCUCAACCCCAUAAAGCCACGGAUACUGGUCAGCUAGAGUACUGGAGAGGGCAGUGGAAUUCCAUGUGUAGCGGUAAAAUGCGUAGAUAUAUGGAGGAACACCGGUGGCGAAGGCGGCUGCCUGGACAGAGACUGACGCUGAGGCACGAAAGCGUGGGGAGCAAAUAGG
This 423-nucleotide ribosomal RNA is filed under the name bacterium. RNAcentral's name for it is "partial 16S ribosomal RNA". It matches the Rfam family "Bacterial small subunit ribosomal RNA", at positions 355 to 776 of the family's 1533-position model. The record is from RNAcentral.